GAUCAUGGCUCAGAUUGAACGCUGCGGCAUGCCUUACACAUGCAAGUCGAACGGCAGCACGGGGCAACCUGGUGGCGAGUGGCGAACGGGUGAGUAAUGCAUCGGAACGUGCCAUUGAGUGGGGGGUAACGUAGCGAAAGUUACGCUAAUACCGCAUAUUCUGUGAGCAGGAAAGCAGGGGAUCGCAAGACCUUGCGCUCUUUGAGCGGCCGAUGUCAGAUUAGCUAGUUGGUGAGGUAACGGCUUACCAAGGCGACGAUCUGUAGCGGGUCUGAGAGGAUGAUCCGCCACACUGGAACUGAGACACGGUCCAGACUCCUACGGGAGGCAGCAGUGGGGAAUUUUUGGACAAUGGGGGCAACCCUGAUCCAGCCAUGCCGCGUGAGUGAAGAAGGCCUUCGGGUUGUAAAGCUCUUUCGGCCGGGAAGAAAUCGCAUGGGUUAAUACCCUGUGUGGAUGACGGUACCGGCAUAAGAAGCACCGGCUAACUACGUG
This 495-nucleotide ribosomal RNA is filed under the name uncultured bacterium. RNAcentral describes it as "bacterial SSU rRNA". It matches the Rfam family "Bacterial small subunit ribosomal RNA", at positions 15 to 507 of the family's 1533-position model. The record is from RNAcentral.